UGCUGAGACAUUUAAAGAGUGUGGGAAUUUUGUUUAGUAUGGGUGCAUUAUUUCUUUUUUGCAGGUUACAGACUGUGGCUCCGUCACUUUGCCAGCUGCCUUUCUGCCUUAGCAGAAGUUAGAGAAGUACCAGUCAACCUGAGAAUUGAUAUGGGAAAGUGAAACACUUCUCUGCUUCACCAGCUAUCUUCUCUCCUUGGCUGCCUCUGCAGUUGCUGGAGCUCUCAGUAUUGUUCUGUGUCUUGGAACUGCAGGUUUUCCACAAAAGAAAAUUUGGUUGUGUCAAGAGAUAAGAAUAAACCUCCUCUUCAAAAAUGCAGAGGAAAAUUACAGCACUUGUGAAAGGGAAAAUUUGGUUAUAAGAGCAAAAUAAACAGAAGAGAAAGACCUACAUCCAUAUGGCUGAUUCAUUCCUGCUGAGUCCACUUGUUGGAUUAGUUGCAAAUAUUUAAGCAUUUACCAUUCAAUAUAAAAACACUACAGAGCUUAACCAUUAUAACCACUGUACCACUCACUAUUUGGAAUUACCUGUGUUACCCUUGCAAUGACAAGAAAUGCCAAUAAAAGAUAAUACAGA
Molecule: long non-coding RNA, 577 nt
Filed under: Phasianus colchicus (ring-necked pheasant)
Lineage: Eukaryota; Metazoa; Chordata; Aves; Galliformes; Phasianidae
Description: lncRNA (ENSPCLG00000020843.1)
Source: RNAcentral